This 242-nucleotide ribosomal RNA is filed under the name uncultured bacterium. Its description in RNAcentral is "partial 16S ribosomal RNA". It matches the Rfam family "Bacterial small subunit ribosomal RNA", at positions 524 to 765 of the family's 1533-position model. The record is from RNAcentral.
UACGUAGGGUGCAAGCGUUAAUCGGAAUUACUGGGCGUAAAGCGUGCGGAGGCGGUUUUGUAAGUUUGUCGUGAAAUCCCCGGGCUCAACCUGGGAAUUGCGAUGAAGACUGCAAGGCUAGAAUCUGGCAGAGGGGGGUAGAAUUCCACGUGUAGCAGUGAAAUGCGUAGAGAUGUGGAGGAACACCGAUGGCGAAGGCAGCCCCCUGGGUCAAGAUUGACGCUCAUGCACGAAAGCGUGGG